RNAcentral lists this ribosomal RNA (323 nucleotides) under Staphylococcus aureus. Its description in RNAcentral is "partial 23S ribosomal RNA". It matches the Rfam family "Bacterial large subunit ribosomal RNA", at positions 2580 to 2904 of the family's 2925-position model. The record is from RNAcentral. Lineage: Bacteria; Bacillati; Bacillota; Bacilli; Caryophanales; Staphylococcaceae.
UUCGCCCAUUAAAGCGGUACGCGAGCUGGGUUCAGAACGUCGUGAGACAGUUCGGUCCCUAUCCGUCGUGGGCGUAGGAAAUUUGAGAGGAGCUGUCCUUAGUACGAGAGGACCGGGAUGGACAUACCUCUGGUGUACCAGUUGUCGUGCCAACGGCAUAGCUGGGUAGCUAUGUGUGGACGGGAUAAGUGCUGAAAGCAUCUAAGCAUGAAGCCCCCCUCAAGAUGAGAUUUCCCAACUUCGGUUAUAAGAUCCCUCAAAGAUGAUGAGGUUAAUAGGUUCGAGGUGGAAGCAUGGUGACAUGUGGAGCUGACGAAUACUAA